AGUGAACGCUGGCGGUAGGCCUAACACAUGCAAGUCGAACGGCAGCACAGUAAGAGCUUGCUCUUACGGGUGGCGAGUGGCGGACGGGUGAGGAAUACAUCGGAAUCUACUUUUUCGUGGGGGAUAACGUAGGGAAACUUACGCUAAUACCGCAUACGACCUACGGGUGAAAGCAGGGGAUCUUCGGACCUUGCGCGAUUGAAUGAGCCGAUGCCGGAUUAGCUAGUUGGCGGGGUAAAGGCCCACCAAGGCGACGAUCCGUAGCUGGUCUGAGAGGAUGAUUAGCCACACUGGAACUGAGACACGGUCCAGACUCCUACGGGAGGCAGCAGUGGGGAAUAUUGGACAAUGGGCGCAAGCCUGAUCCAGCCAUACCGCGUGGGUGAAGAAGGCCUUCGGGUUGUAAAGCCCUUUUGUUGGGAAAGAAAAGCAGCAGGUUAAUACCCCGCUGUUCUGACGGUACCCAAAGAAUAAGCACCGGCUAACUUCGUG
Molecule: ribosomal RNA, 492 nt
Filed under: uncultured bacterium
Lineage: Bacteria
Description: partial 16S ribosomal RNA
Rfam family: Bacterial small subunit ribosomal RNA
Source: RNAcentral